UUGUCUCAAAGAUUAAGCCAUGCAUGUCUCAGUACAAGCCAAAUUAAGGUGAAACCGCGAAAGGCUCAUUAAAUCAGUUAUGGUUCCUUAGAUCGUACCCACAUUUACUUGGAUAACUGUGGUAAUUCUAGAGCUAAUACAUGCAAAUAGAGUCCCUACCGGAGACGGGAGGGACGCUUUUAUUAGAUCAAAACCAAUCGGUGGUGAGUCGCAAGGCUCAUCAUCGUACAACUUGGUGACUCUGAAUAACUUUAUGCUGAUCGCACGGUCUCGCACCGGCGACGCAUCUUUCAAAUGUCUGCCUUAUCAACUGUCGAUGGUAGGUUCUGCGCCUACCAUGGUUGUAACGGGUAACGGGGAAUCAGGGUUCGAUUCCGGAGAGGGAGCCUGAGAAACGGCUACCACAUCCAAGGAAGGCAGCAGGCGCGCAAAUUACCCACUCCCGGCACGGGGAGGUAGUGACGAAAAAUAACGAUACGGGACUCAUCCGAGGCCCCGUAAUCGGAAUGAGUACACUCUAAAUCCUUUAACAAGGAUCAAUUGGAGGGCAAGUCUGGUGCCAGCAGCCGCGGUAAUUCCAGCUCCAAUAGCGUAUAUUAAAGUUGUUGCGGUUAAAAAGCUCGUAGUCGAAUUUGUGUCCCGCGCCGCCGGUUCAUCGUCCGCGGUGUCAACUGGCGUGUCGCGGGACGUCCUGCCGGUGGGCUUAGCUCAUUCGUGGGCGGCCCAACUCAAUCCCGCCGCGGUGCUCUUCACUGAGUGUCGAGGUGGGCCGGCACGUUUACUUUGAACAAAUUAGAGUGCUUAAAGCAGGCUAAAAUUUUGCCUGAAUAUAUUGUGCAUGGAAUAAUGAAAUAGGACCUCGGUUCUAUUUUGUUGGUUUUCGGAACCCCGAGGUAAUGAUUAAUAGGAACUGAUGGGGGCCAUUCGUAUUGCGACGUUAGAGGUGAAAUUCUUGGACCGUCGCAAGACGGACUAAAGCGAAAGCAUUUGCCAAAAAUGUUUUCAUUGAUCAAGAACGAAAGUUAGAGGUUCGAAGGCGAUCAGAUACCGCCCUAGUUCUAACCAUAAACGAUGCCAACUAGCGAUCCGUCGAUGUUCCUCCGAUGACUCGACGGGCAGCUUCCGGGAAACCAAAGCUUUUGGGUUCCGGGGGAAGUAUGGUUGCAAAGCUGAAACUUAAAGGAAUUGACGGAAGGGCACCACCAGGAGUGGAGCCUGCGGCUUAAUUUGACUCAACACGGGAAACCUCACCAGGCCCGGACACCGGAAGGAUUGACAGAUUGAGAGCUCUUUCUUGAUUCGGUGGGUGGUGGUGCAUGGCCGU
This 1324-nucleotide ribosomal RNA is filed under the name Parentonium magnum. RNAcentral describes it as "SSU rRNA". It matches the Rfam family "Eukaryotic small subunit ribosomal RNA", at positions 32 to 1291 of the family's 1831-position model. Lineage: Eukaryota; Metazoa; Arthropoda; Insecta; Coleoptera; Rentoniidae. The record is from RNAcentral.